Molecule: non-coding RNA, 30 nt
Filed under: Mus musculus (house mouse)
Lineage: Eukaryota; Metazoa; Chordata; Mammalia; Rodentia; Muridae
Source: RNAcentral
UGGGUUCUGAUCCACUGUUGCCAGGGAGCC